RNAcentral lists this ribosomal RNA (460 nucleotides) under uncultured bacterium. RNAcentral's name for it is "partial 16S ribosomal RNA". It matches the Rfam family "Bacterial small subunit ribosomal RNA", at positions 338 to 795 of the family's 1533-position model. The record is from RNAcentral.
CCUACGGGAGGCAGCAGUGAGGAAUAUUGGUCAAUGGGCGAGAGCCUGAACCAGCCAAGUAGCGUGAAGGAUGACUGCCCUACGGGUUGUAAACUUCUUUUAUAAAGGGAUAAAGUGAGUCACGUUGGCCUUUUUUUAUGUACUUUAUGAAUAAGGAUAGGCUAACGCAGGUCCAGCAGACGCGGUAAUACGGAGGAGACGAGGGUUAGCCCGAUUUAUUGGGUUGAAAGGGAGCGUAGAUGAUGUGUUAAGUCAGUUGUGAAAGUUUGCGGCUCAACCGUAAAAUUGCAAUUGAUACUGGCAGCAUUGAGUACAGUGGAGGUAGGCGGAAUUCGUGGUGUAGCGGUGAAAUGCUUAGAUAUCACGAAGAACUCCGAUUGCGAAGGCAGCUUACUAAACUGCCACUGACAUUGAUGCUCGAAAGUGUGGGUAUCAAACAGGAUUAGAUACCCCAGUAGUC